Molecule: transfer RNA, 73 nt
Filed under: Podarcis lilfordi (Lilford's wall lizard)
Lineage: Eukaryota; Metazoa; Chordata; Lepidosauria; Squamata; Lacertidae
Description: tRNA.Phe
Rfam family: tRNA (bases 6-66)
About the family: Transfer RNA (tRNA) molecules are approximately 80 nucleotides in length. Their secondary structure includes four short double-helical elements and three loops (D, anti-codon, and T loops).
Source: RNAcentral
GCUGGAUAGCUCAGUGGGUUAGAGCAUGGUGCUGAAAAUGCCAAGGCUGCAGGUUUGAUCCCAGCUGCAUAUU